UCCGUAGGGUGCAAUCGUUGUCCGGAUUUAUUGGGUUUAAAGGGUGCGUAGGUGGCUCUUUAAGUCAUGGGUGAAAGCCCGCAGCUUAACUGUGGAAUUGCCUGUGAUACUGAGGAGCUUGAGUGCGGUUGAGGCAGCUGGAAUUGGUGGUGUAGCGGUGAAAUGCAUAGAUACCACCAGGAACACCGAUUGCGAAGGCAGGUUGCUAAGCCGUAACUGACACUGAGGCACGAAAGCGUGGGGAGAAAACAGG
RNAcentral lists this ribosomal RNA (253 nucleotides) under uncultured bacterium. Its description in RNAcentral is "partial 16S ribosomal RNA". It matches the Rfam family "Bacterial small subunit ribosomal RNA", at positions 524 to 776 of the family's 1533-position model. The record is from RNAcentral.